GAUUUUUCCAUUUUAAGGAGCUCAUCCCAGUUAUUUAAGGUCUUUUCCUGUCAUAUCAAGAAGGAAUUAUUGCCUUUCUGAACAAAAACGGAUAAUUUUAAACCAGCAGCUGCUGUCUUUAACUUUGUUUCUGUCUGUGCAGUGUAUAAAGACACAAGUCACAGCUCCUGCUGGACAGACAUGCAGAAAAUUGCUUGAAAGGUUACCCAAAACAAAACAACAAAGACAAAUGAAGGGGUGUGAAUCACCUGGAGUUAUUGGGUGUGGUGGUAAUUAUUAGUGGUUGAGUUUCAUUCAUAGGCUUCAUUAAAGAGACCAUUCACAAUCCCAGUUCUGUUCUUCCAUGCCAAUCGCCAGCACAUUGGUUUAUUUUAUCAUCUUAAAUCUAUCGGUUAAUACCUGUAUAUUUCCAGAA
RNAcentral lists this long non-coding RNA (415 nucleotides) under Lepisosteus oculatus (spotted gar). Its description in RNAcentral is "lncRNA (ENSLOCG00000021556.1)". Lineage: Eukaryota; Metazoa; Chordata; Actinopteri; Semionotiformes; Lepisosteidae. The record is from RNAcentral.